The sequence is an unclassified non-coding RNA, 320 nucleotides long. Its record names the gene 7SK. It matches the Rfam family "7SK RNA". Rfam says of the family: 7SK was discovered as an abundant small nuclear RNA in the mid-70s but a possible function has only recently been suggested. Two independent studies have found that 7SK RNA binds the CDK9/cyclin T complex (known as elongation factor P-TEFb). The record is from Ensembl.
GAAUGUGGGGGAGAUCUGGCUGUGACACCUGUCACCCCACUGAUCUCCCAGGUUGAUUCGGCUGAUCUGGCUGGCUAGGCAGGUGUCCCCUUCCUCCCUCACCGCUCCAUGUGCCUGCCUCCCAAAGCUGCAUGCUCGGUGGAAGAGGACGACUAUCCUCCAUAGAGGAGGACCAUUCUUCAGUCAAGGGUAUUCGAGUAGCCACAUUCCCCUGCUAGAACCUCCAAACAAGCUCUCAACAUCAAAUUUUGAUCUGUCAAGUAACUAUACUGUAAUAAUUUUGGUAUAUGAUUUGGAUUUGAUAAGGUUAUGUUCACAUA